GGGAGGGGCUCAAUGACACAGAGGAAGGAAAUGUUUCAUAACGCUUCCCCAGGCGGAAAACCACGGGGACAAUGGUGAGAACGACCGCCGCCCCCCAUUCCAGAAGCUGAAGCUCCAGUUAGAAGUCAACUUUCUGCUUCCCAUAAGCACAUAGAUCCCAGACUGUUUCGAACCAGAAGGUUAAUGACGCUGGUUCUUGAUUAUCACACCACCAACAAAUCAAGAAAAUGUCUCUGCACUAAUCACAUCCUGCUCCUCAAAUGCUGUAAGACUCCUCACUACCCCCUCCAAGGGCGAGUGGGGCUCCAUCCUUGAGGUACUGGCCUGCCAUGUUCUCCUCUUUGCCUGGCAUUUAAAAAUACUUUUUCUUUUUCCCCAACUCUGUCUCAACCUUUCUAUUUGGCAUCGGUAUACAGAGGCAGCCGAGAUUUUGGCAACCGUGUUGAAUCAAAAAUUAGGAGUGGGUAUAAUUGAGGCCUGUGGACUUUUCAGAAGAAAGGAAGGCUAGAUGCUAUUGAGGCAGAAUAUUAACUCAGACAGGCAGUGUAGGAACAUGGAAUACAUCCUUUGAUACGGCUAUUGAUUAACAUUUGUGGCUUAAGGGCUCCAGGGAGUAACACACCCCACAGGACUUGUUUUAUCUUAGCAAAUGCACGUUCCCCACAGGCUUUGUUUACUAUAGAAAAUGCGAAUCUCUAGCCCAUUCCUCAACUGAUAGAAAAGGAAUGAGAGGAAUGGUGACAGUCUAAGGAAAGAGAAGGACAAAGAAACCCUAAAACUUAUGGGACUUUUACAACCCUAAAGCCCCUAUUGGACAAGGACUGAUAUAGGUAAUUGAGCAAGGCCAACGGGAGAACACCACAUCUUUCUGGACCCCCAUUUGUACCCCCCCCCACCUUUAAGAGAUAAAAUCCCUAUAGGACAAUAAAGAAGGGGGCUCUUCUGCCCCCCUCCCAGCAGCCCUGGGAGCUAUUUGCUUUUCUUUAGUAAAGACUUUGCUUGCUUGCUGCCUGUGUGUUCGAGGAGUUCAUUCUUCGACUGCCGUGAACAAGAACCUGGAUUCUGGUAUCACUAUUUUGUUUGAUAUAUGGGGUAAGGCUUUGUCACUGUGUACGUCUUAAUUUGCCUGGAGUUGUCCAGUCAGUAAUUGAAUUCUGUUAAUUGUAAUCUCAUGUUCAUUUUGCGACUUUUAACACUUCCAUUAACAAUAGAUUUACUGGAGUUCCUGUCGUGGCGCAGCGGAAACAAAUCUAACUAGGAACCAUGAGGUUACAGGUUCGAUCACUGGCCUCACUCAGUGGAUUAAGGACCCAGUGUUGCUGUGAGCUGUGGUGUAGGUCGCAGACUCGGCUUGGAUCUGGCUUUGCUGUGGCUCUGGCGUAGGCCGGCAGCAACAGCUCCGAUUGGACCCAUAGCCUGGNAA
RNAcentral lists this long non-coding RNA (1423 nucleotides) under Sus scrofa (pig). Its description in RNAcentral is "lncRNA (ENSSSCG00065031733.1)". Lineage: Eukaryota; Metazoa; Chordata; Mammalia; Artiodactyla; Suidae. The record is from RNAcentral.